GUCUCUCUGCGCGCCGAGCCGAGCCGGGACAGAGCCAUGGGGGGAGGGGCCGGACGCCUGGGUUCCCGGGGGGCGUCUCACUCCCGCCUCGCAGCCCCGGCCUGGGCGGCGGUGAUGUGCGGCGCUGGAGCUGAGGACUCUGGGGCAUCUGGCUGGAUUUUUGCCCCAUGUUUAUCUCUGACCUGAGCCCAACAUGGUGAGACCCCCGGGGUCUCUGGACGGAGAGCCAAUGGCCAGAAUAGCGCAGAGGCAGGGCUCUGUGACACUCAGCCUCAGCCCAAGAGCCUCCCAGCUAUCUGGUUUUGAAGGUGUCGGGUGGCUGCCGGCGUUGGUUACGGAGAGGAGAAUACGGGGCCCUGCGCGGUGGGGAACUGAAAUGAGAAGUGGGGGGAGCGCCCAGCCCCCGCCUGCAGCGCUGUUCAGGGUGGACAGGAGCCGGCCCCCCCAGCGUCCCGGGGGCGGGGGGGAGCCUGGGAGCAUCGCACACCGAACUGGGCUGGUGCCUCAAUAAACAGAUGUGCCACAAA
Long non-coding RNA from Gopherus evgoodei (Goodes thornscrub tortoise), 527 nucleotides. RefSeq lists it as uncharacterized. Lineage: Eukaryota; Metazoa; Chordata; Testudines; Testudinidae. The transcript has 5 exons. The record is from RefSeq and is a predicted model, not a curated record.